AUUGAACGCUGGCGGCAGGCCUAACACAUGCAAGUCGGACGGUAGCACAGAGGAGCUUGCUCUUCGGGUGACGAGUGGCGGACGGGUGAGUAAUGUCUGGGGAUCUGCCCGAUAGAGGGGGAUAACCACUGGAAACGGUGGCUAAUACCGCAUAACGUCGCAAGACCAAAGAGGGGGACCUCCGGGCCUCUCACUAUCGGAUGAACCCAGAUGGGAUUAGCUAGUAGGCGGGGUAACGGCCCACCUAGGCGACGAUCCCUAGCUGGUCUGAGAGGAUUACCGGCCACACUGGAACUGAGACACGGUCCAGACUCCUACGGGAGGCAGCAGUGGGGAAUAUUGCACAAUGGGCGCAAGCCUGAUGCAGCCAUGCCGCGUGUAUGAAGAAGGCCUUCGGGUUGCAAAGUACUUUCAGCGGGGAGGAAGGCGAUGUGGUUAAUAACCGCGUCGAUUGACGUUACCCGCAGAAGAAGCACCGGCUAACUCCGUGCCAGCAGCCGCCGCGG
RNAcentral lists this ribosomal RNA (506 nucleotides) under uncultured bacterium. Its description in RNAcentral is "partial 16S ribosomal RNA". It matches the Rfam family "Bacterial small subunit ribosomal RNA", at positions 29 to 523 of the family's 1533-position model. The record is from RNAcentral.